UACAGAGGGUGCGAGCGUUAAUCGGAAUUACUGGGCGUAAAGCGCGCGUAGGCGGCUUUGCAAGUCGAGUGUGAAAUCCCCAGGCUUAACCUGGGAACUGCAUUCGAGACUGCAUAGCUAGAGUAUGGGAGAGGGAAGUGGAAUUUCAGGUGUAGCGGUGAAAUGCGUAGAUAUCUGAAGGAACAUCAGUGGCGAAAGCGACUUCCUGGACCAAUACUGACGCUCAUGUGCGGAAGCGUGGGGAGCAAACAGG
Molecule: ribosomal RNA, 253 nt
Filed under: uncultured bacterium
Lineage: Bacteria
Description: partial 16S ribosomal RNA
Rfam family: Bacterial small subunit ribosomal RNA
Source: RNAcentral